Phalacrocorax carbo (great cormorant) is the source of this 723-nucleotide non-coding RNA. Lineage: Eukaryota; Metazoa; Chordata; Aves; Suliformes; Phalacrocoracidae. The record is from RefSeq and is a predicted model, not a curated record.
ACCAGUGCAUCCUGUGUGCUCUUGAUUGUUCAAAGGUGUGGUUUUCCAAAGUAUUUCUGCUUAACCACAAACUAUAUUUCAUGCAAUAAUGAUAUUUUAGUUUUACCUUGCUGUAACUCUAUUAUUACACUCAUUACGAAUGAAGGGCACGGCAGGUCUCGUUACAGGUGUUUCUCCACUGCCACGGCACUCGCUGAUCAUCGCUAGGAAGAAGUUAUCAACCUCGAGCCCGUAUUAUCAAGCAGAGGAGGUGGUUUUCGGCAGGCCCUGCUAGCUGGGAGGCGCCAGAAGUUGCGCCCCCCGCACGCACCGUGCCACAAGUAGAGCUCCUGCCACUUCUGACUGCAGGUUGCGAGGGUCUGACAAGUUUCCUCCCUGCGCACCGAACUGGCAACCCAUCACGGAGCCCUCCUACUGCCAUGUAUCGCACUGAUGGUAAAAAUUCUUCUUUUUUUUUUUUUUUUAAAACCAACCUUUCUGGCCUUGUUCAGUAAUGUAGCUCUAAGCUUUGUCAUCCUUGUUUCCUGAACUACCUGUCUAAUCUCUUUCUAAUCCAACGUGCGUAUUUUCUGUCAUGAAAGGCUGCAAGCAGACCACUGACGUGAUACAAACAGGACCUGGAAGAAGAUGAGAAUAAGCACCUCUGAUUAGUUUUCAUGCCACUGAUUUUACUACUUUUACAAAUUUUGUUAACAGUUUGAGAUUUCUUUUCUUCCUGGAAGA